UACGAAGGGGACUAGCGUUGUUCGGAAUCACUGGGCGUAAAGCGCACGUAGGCGGAUUGGUCAAUUAGGGGUGAAAUCCUGGAGCUCAACUCCAGAACUGCCUUUAAUACUGCCAAUCUCGAGUCCGGAAGAGGUGAGUGGAACUCCUAGUGUAGAGGUGGAAUUCGUAGAUAUUAGGAAGAACACCAGUGGCGAAGGCGGCUCACUGGUCCGGUACUGACGCUGAGGUGCGAAAGCGUGGGGAGCAAACAGG
Molecule: ribosomal RNA, 253 nt
Filed under: uncultured bacterium
Lineage: Bacteria
Description: partial 16S ribosomal RNA
Rfam family: Bacterial small subunit ribosomal RNA
Source: RNAcentral